GGGAUUAGAUACCCCACUAUGCACAGCCCUAAACUUUGAUAGAAACAUUACAUCCACUAUCCGCCAGGGUACUACGAGCUCUAGCUUAAAAUCCAAAGGACUUGGCGGUGCUUUAGACCCACCUAGAGGAGCCUGUUCUAGAACCGACAACCCCCGUUCAACCUCACCCUCCCUUGUCCAUUCCGCCUAUAUACCGCCGUCGUCAGCUUACCCCAUGAAGGAUUCAUAGUAAGCAAAACCAGUAUAACUUAAAACGCCAGGUCGAGGUGUAGCGCAUGAGAGGGGAAGAAAUGGGCUACAUUCCCUAAACCAGGGUAUACGGAAAAUACAAUGAAAUACGUAUUAGAAGGAGGAUUUAGCAGUAAGCAGAAAACAGAGUGUUCUACUGAAACUGGCCCUGAAGCGCGCACACACCGCCCGUCACCCCUUAA
RNAcentral lists this ribosomal RNA (431 nucleotides) under Tylosurus crocodilus (hound needlefish). RNAcentral's name for it is "partial 12S ribosomal RNA". It matches the Rfam family "Bacterial small subunit ribosomal RNA", at positions 774 to 1407 of the family's 1533-position model. Lineage: Eukaryota; Metazoa; Chordata; Actinopteri; Beloniformes; Belonidae. The record is from RNAcentral.